CCUGAUGUGGGGGAUAACUAUUGGAAACGAUAGCUAAUACCGCAUAAUCUCUUCGGAGCAAAGAGGGGGACCUUCGGGCCUCUCGCGUCAGGAUUAGCCCAGGUGGGAUUAGCUAGUUGGUGGGGUAAUGGCUCACCAAGGCGACGAUCCCUAGCUGGUCUGAGAGGAUGAUCAGCCACACUGGAACUGAGACACGGUCCAGACUCCUACGGGAGGCAGCAGUGGGGAAUAUUGCACAAUGGGGGAAACCCUGAUGCAGCCAUGCCGCGUGUAUGAAGAAGGCCUUCGGGUUGUAAAGUACUUUCAGUUGUGAGGAAGGCGUUGGAGUUAACAGCUUCAGCGCUUGACGUUAGCAACAGAAGAAGCACCGGCUAACUCCGUGCCAGCAGCCGCGGUAA
This 398-nucleotide ribosomal RNA is filed under the name Photobacterium phosphoreum. RNAcentral describes it as "bacterial SSU rRNA". It matches the Rfam family "Bacterial small subunit ribosomal RNA", at positions 130 to 523 of the family's 1533-position model. Lineage: Bacteria; Pseudomonadati; Pseudomonadota; Gammaproteobacteria; Vibrionales; Vibrionaceae. The record is from RNAcentral.